Molecule: ribosomal RNA, 463 nt
Filed under: Acanthamoeba genotype T4
Lineage: Eukaryota; Discosea; Longamoebia; Acanthamoebidae
Description: SSU rRNA
Rfam family: Eukaryotic small subunit ribosomal RNA
Source: RNAcentral
GGCCCAGAUCGUUUACCGUGAAAAAAUUAGAGUGUUCAAAGCAGGCAGAUCCAAUUUUCUGCCACCGAAUACAUUAGCAUGGGAUAAUGGAAUAGGACCCUGUCCUCCUAUUUUCAGUUGGUUUUGGCAGCGCGAGGACUAGGGUAAUGAUUAAUAGGGAUAGUUGGGGGCAUUAAUAUUUAAUUGUCAGAGGUGAAAUUCUUGGAUUUAUGAAAGAUUAACUUCUGCGAAAGCAUCUGCCAAGGAUGUUUUCAUUAAUCAAGAACGAAAGUUAGGGGAUCGAAGACGAUCAGAUACCGUCGUAGUCUUAACCAUAAACGAUGCCGACCAGCGAUUAGGAGACGUUGAAUACAAAACACCACCAUCGGUGCGGUCAUCCUUGGCGUUGGUCUUGCAAAAGGCCAGCGCGGGGGUGGCUUAGCCCGGUGGCACCGGUGAAUGACUCCCCUAGCAGCUUGUGAGA